This 44-nucleotide ribosomal RNA is filed under the name Trichoderma virens. RNAcentral's name for it is "partial 28S ribosomal RNA". RNAcentral also lists the same sequence under 3 other names. The record is from RNAcentral. Lineage: Eukaryota; Fungi; Ascomycota; Sordariomycetes; Hypocreales; Hypocreaceae.
GUGACCUCGGAUCAGGUAGGAAUACCCGCUGAACUUAAGCAUAU